Nycticebus coucang (slow loris) is the source of this 3218-nucleotide long non-coding RNA. RefSeq lists it as uncharacterized. The record is from RefSeq and is a predicted model, not a curated record. Lineage: Eukaryota; Metazoa; Chordata; Mammalia; Primates; Lorisidae. The transcript has 3 exons.
GCGACUGGCGCUCGGGUCGCUGGGAUCCAGGGAGCCUGUGUGCGCCCGAGGGGCGCCGGGGCGGCCUGAUGGCCCGGGCGGCCGCUGGGGGUCAGGAUAAGCCCGCGGAGCAGCCCGGCCGCCGCCCGCCGCCCAGCCGGGAAGGGCGCCCGGCUCCGGAGCGCGAGGCCUGCCCGGGCAGGCGACGCGAGAUGCACCGUCGAUGUCCCCGCGCGGGGCCGCAGCCACCCGGAGGUUCCCUUGGCUGCCCUUAUUUGUAAGGCAAAUCUAGGCCCGCGCACACGGUGCUCGGAUGUCAGGUACUAAAUUGCCUUUAUGAGAGUGGAGCAGGCUUGCUGAUGACAACGCGCAGAUAACAAAAGAAGCGUGGCCUUGGUGAAGAUUUUAUGUAAGGGGAAAUGAUUCAUUUGAAUUCAGAAGGAGUCUUAAAAUAAGGCAGAAACAGCCAAGCCCUGGAUUUUCUGCCUUAUGACUUGUUUCUUAGAAGUUGUUUAAAAAGAAAAGAAGAGAAAAAAAAAUUUUUUUUUUUUUUUAAAGAAAAACUCCCCCAAAUUGCCACUCAAGGUUUAGAUUUUCGUGGGUUGCUAUUUUCUUCAGAUCCAGGUUGGCUUCUUGUUAACCCCCGGCUGCAGCCACAGAAAACGAGAUUUUCCUCCCACUGAGGGAUUAACCGCCUGGGAGCCUUAGUGGGAUGACGAGGUCUUGAGAGACUGGAGGUGAAUGAGUCUGAAAUGUUUGAAAGAAAACAUCUUCAGCAGUUUGAGAGCUGCACUAAGACACUUCAAAGAAUCAAAAUUGCCCUUAUUUAAGAGCUUUGGAGAUCCAAAUACAAGUCCCUUUUCUUUUGCCAAGAAGGCCACUUACUCAUUUUGUGUGUCUUUCAUGCUUCAGGGAAAUGCUGGGAUUCUUUUUCAAUCCCUAACCAGGCAUCUGUUUGACUUUUUCUGCAAAGACCAAUUUUUUUCUUGAAGUCUCAAAUUUCUGUUCCUUUUGGGGAUGCCAUGUGGAAGAGGGAAUCAGUGCCUUUCUCGGGAACCAAAUGAGAGAGUGAAAGGCCUCACCUCUUUCAAGUGGGCCCAUGUUUGGGUGGUAGGGCUGCUGGGGCCAGAGUGAUGUUCAAGGGCUGUCUGGCAAACUGUCUGGGGUUAGAGAUGAGGAACAUUCCUUCAUUCACCUGUUGGACCAGCAUUUAUUAAGCACUCACUACACCUGCUUAUAGUGGUGGGGAAGCCAACAGCGUGGAGGAAGAUGGCAGCAAUUAUUCCCCUCUAUUGGAAAAUCCACCAUCUAGUGUUCUUUUUUCUUCAUGUAGAAGCUGAGAAAAACCCAGGAAUUGUCAACAAAUACAGACUCUUGGUUUUUAACUUAGAGGUGCCAUCUGAUUUGCGGCAUGCGUGGGGUGCAAAUUGAACUCCGGGCUUCCAACCAAACUUUGUAAGGAGGUCCUCAGCCACAGAGACACCAGCAUGGGCAGCCACUGGCCACUGCUCCUUUGGGUGUGCCAAGUAAGACAAGUGGCAGUUGGAUGGCCUGAGUAUUUGUGUGUCAGCAUCCAUGUAUUUGUAUAUUUGUGACCAGGGGUAACCACAGCAGUGGCACAGCUGUGGCCCUGCCAAUGCCGUCUACAAGCAGUCUUCGAAUUGCUAGCACAUGGUCAUGAGGCUCGUACGCGGUUACGUGUCAGCUAAGCUGAAACAAAUGAGGUGACAGAAACACAAUAAAGGAAGCUCGGUCAUGCUGCCACCCACUCCUCCCUGCCUAGACUGGUCCUCAGCAAGCUGCCACCCUGGACUGAUGAGACUGUGCCGGUGAUAAGCCACAACUGUGGGAAACGCUGGGUGGGGGCAUAAAUAUCAUCUGUAAACAAUUAGGCAGCCACUGCUCAUUCAGUGCCGUUUUGAGAAGCUGAGGAAGUCUGCAAUCAGUUAUAUCUCCAAUUACCAUAAAAAUAUAUUAGCCAUUCAUUCAUUUAUUAAUGAUUCAUCAGUUAACCACACAUAAUGAGCAAAUAAUUAGCAGUGCUGUAUGGUUGCCAAAAUUGAAGAAGUGUUGGCAUUUUAAAGAUGAAAGGUUGCAUUUAUGCAAAAGUCUGGUGAUGAUAAAGUUAAUAUGGAAGAUAAUUAUAAAAGUGGCUGUCCUAUAUUACAGGCUGAGGUACCACAAAACUUGCCUAAUUGAACUGAAAUUAAUAUUCUUCCAAAGUCUACAUGUUGCCACACACAAACUGCUGAAUUUCUCUUGAAGAUCUCCCUUCAGUAAGGUGCACCGCACAAUACAAGUUAAUAAAAUGCCAGACAGCUAGACUGUGUUCUUUGUUUGCUUGGUUCAGGGCCUUGUGGAAAACAAUAAAUUGCAUUCAUGUCAGCUGAGGCCCAUCCCUUUGCUAAUUACCGUUUGGUGCUGAAAUGACUUCUGUGAAAUUGGGAGCAUGAGGAAACAUAUAGCCAUACAAGGGAGGCUUUUCAGAGUUUUGCAGUAAAUGUGAGAUAGGCCUCAGGCACACAGAUGUUAAAACAGCGAAUUCCCCAACAGAUUACACUAAUGGAAACCCUGUCAGGGUAGGUCAAAUCCGGGUCUGUGGUCAAAAUCUAAUUAAGGUUUCUGUACUUAAAAAGAAUAUGAAUGCCUGGGGGUGGUGAUGAAUGUAUAAGAAACUCACUUGUUUGUAAAAUUGUUAGCGUGAAUAGUAAGUACCGUGGGGCUGUUACCUGCCACGGAACACCUGUUUUCCGGGGCUCUCUCUGCUCUGCAGAAUGUAUGCAAGGCGGGUUUUUUCAGAGGUCAGUGAACUCAGCUCAGGCCACAGUGGCUCCCCAGCUUUGGGGCCUAUUCCAAGGUAUGGUUUGAGGUCAUGGAUGGAAAUGGAUCCUUAAAAGUUGCCUUGGAAUCCCAAAGGAUGCUUUACUUGGCCACAUGAAAACCACCCCAGAUGAUCCUGCCCAACUGCCUGGCGCCACUGAGGAAAUAGUUUUUUGCUGAGGGUGUGGGGCUGGCCAAGUCUCCCCUAGUGGGGAAACAAAGGGUCGUCUGCUCGUGGCUGGCCCUUGGGCCUGUCGGGACUGCCUCCCGGAACAGCUGCAGCGUGCAGGCGCGGCCCUGCUUCUAAUAGAGGAAAUGAAUUUAUAAUGCUGCAGUCUCUUCAUUUUCACCAAGCACAAAUUUCCCCUUAAAUACUUAAAAACAACACCCAGAGCUGGAUAUACCUUAAAUUUCCAAUA